GAGCUGGGUACUUGCUUCAGCAACUAAAAUUGACAUGAUAUAGAGAUUAGCAUAAUCCUUGCACAACAAUGGCAGUAAAAUCAUGAGGCAUUCUAUAUUUUU
Molecule: small nuclear RNA, 102 nt
Filed under: Nannospalax galili (Upper Galilee mountains blind mole rat)
Lineage: Eukaryota; Metazoa; Chordata; Mammalia; Rodentia; Spalacidae
Source: RNAcentral